AUAUAGAGUGCUCCUCUCUGCAUGGUGUCCAUAAGUCCCUCAUACUCCACAUAUACAUUUGUACUACUACCGCCACUUAGACUUUCAUUUGUGUUGAACUAGCUUCAUCAUGAGCAAGCCUGUGAAGAUUGGUCUAUGGGGUGGAGUCGGAGGCCAGCCUCGUGACGUCAAACACGCUCCCCACCGACUAGCCCGGGUGGAAAUUUCUGGUGCAGACGCAAUCCACUCCAUCAAGUUUACAUAUGAGGAUCAUGCCGGGGAUCAGCAUGUAGAGGGUGCAUGGGGAGCUCCUAGUGGGAACAAGCACACGUUGGACCUAGAAGAUACGGAAUAUGUGACUGAAAUUUCAGGAACCUAUGGUAGAUGGGGUAGUGUGUCGUCAAUAGUGACGUCUCUCAAAUUUGUUACAAACAAUGGACAGACUAUAGAAUGUGGUAGUGCUGGUUCCGGGGUUCCUUUCAUGUCCCAGUGACUCAUGGCGGCCAGAUCACCGGUUUCUUUGGACGUGUUGGGGAUCUCAUUGACGCUAUUGGAAUCUAUGUUCUUCCAUGAUCCAUCAUCAUGCAUCGAGUUACUUCCGCUAUAAGGAGUAGCCCAUGAGGCCUACGUGCUACUACUAUUAUUGUGUGUUGUUGAAAUAAAUCAGGGACACCUUUGUUAGCUGGCAGAAUUAUUAUAUAUGCCUGCCAUGCCAUGAUAUGCCAUGUCUUGAAUCCCUCCCAAGUAAGGGAAUGUACAAGUAUGUCAUUUGUGUGAAAAUCUAUGUCUCUUGUAAUAUCUCGUGCUAAUAAGCACGAAUUAUGAAUAAGUAACCACAUCCCCUA
Molecule: long non-coding RNA, 824 nt
Organism: Hordeum vulgare subsp. vulgare (domesticated barley)
Lineage: Eukaryota; Viridiplantae; Streptophyta; Magnoliopsida; Poales; Poaceae
Exons: 3
Source: RefSeq, a predicted model, not a curated record